RNAcentral lists this ribosomal RNA (443 nucleotides) under uncultured prokaryote. Its description in RNAcentral is "bacterial SSU rRNA". It matches the Rfam family "Bacterial small subunit ribosomal RNA", at positions 355 to 796 of the family's 1533-position model. The record is from RNAcentral.
UAGGGAAUAUUGGUCAAUGGGUGAGAGCCUGAACCAGCCAUGCCGCGUGCAGGAAGACGGCCUUCUGGGUUGUAAACUGCUUUUCUACAGGAAGAAAAAAGUCUUGCGAGACGAAUUGCCGGUACUGUAGGAAUAAGCACCGGCUAACUCCGUGCCAGCAGCCGCGGUAAUACGGAGGGUGCGAGCGUUGUCCGGAUUUAUUGGGUUUAAAGGGUGCGUAGGUUGCUUUAUAAGCCAGUGAUGAAAGCCUGCAGCUUAACUGUAGAAUUGCCAUUGGAACUGUAGAGCUUGAGUACAGUUGAAGUGGGCGGAAUUUAUGGUGUAGCGGUGAAAUGCAUAGAUACCAUAAAGAACACCGAUAGCGUAGGCAGCUCACUAAGCUGAGACUGACACUGAUGCACGAAAGCAUGGGUAGCGAACAGGAUUAGAUACCCCCGUAGUCC